UUAUUAUUUUUUCAUUUACUGCUUCAAAUUUCAUCGUUCCCUUUCUAAAAUUUCAAUGAGCGCAUUUCUGAAUUUUCAUUUCCCUCCCGAAUCACGAAAAUAGGGAAUAUAGUUUAAUUCUUGAUUGGUGAUUGUUGCAUAGAGACAGAGAAAAAGAGACUUCACUCCAAUUUAUUGAGAUAUUUGUAAAGCAAAAGAAAGAGAGAACCGAGAGAUUCAGUAACCCUAACUCUUUCUUCAUUCCAAAAGUAACCUUAACCCAUUCUUCUUCUUCCGAGCUUCUGCAACACCUAACCCUAACAUUUUUUCACGUCACAAGCUUCUCCUUCUUCUCUCGUGUAGGAUUCGUCACCCCAUUAAGAGCUUCUUUCACCUACGAGCUCUGAUUCAACUUGUGUCGCAACUUGCGUACAUGAUACUAUCGGUAUACGAGUUUUUGAUUCAUCCUGGUAAAAAUGUGAGAAAUUGUUGAAUCUCACAACAUAUUAUCGCAUGCUCCUGGCUAAUUAUAUCUGUACAUAACUUGACAUUGUUUGUAUUAGCUAUUAUAUGUAUUUUAUUUUAAGAUUUGUGAUAUGAACUUACUUGAUAAAUGUGUUCCUUGUGUAAUAUAUUUUGAGUCUCUCUGUCCUUGAUUUGUUUAAACUCAAAAUUAUAGUAUAUACUCUGUUAUAGUCUAUUGCAGAGUCUAGGUGUUCAGACGUCAAAUAAAAGAAGAAAAUGUUAAAUACAGUAUAAUGCCAUAAAACUCUUGUAUUUGAUGUAUUUAUCUACCCUUUAGAACCUGUCUUUCAGUUUACCCACUAAAUGCUAUAUGGGUAACACAUAAAAUGAAGACUAAUCUAUCCAUCAUGAAUAGGUGUCCAAAAAAUAUAGGAACAUUUGGAAUUCUCACAUGUUAAUGUUACUGCUAAACCUAUGCACUAGAUGCUCAGAUAUAAGUUCAAUGAAACAAAUGCAAAAAAUGAACUGAUAUGAGAAACAAAUUCAUCUACCUCAUAAAGAAGUAGUGUUUAUACUCUCUUCGACUGUAAUGUAUUCACAUAUAUCCCAUAUCAUUUCUUCAUUUUUAACCCUUAUCCAAAGCAACAUUUCAUAGUAACCCAAUUGUGAAAUUGAACUGGGAUUACCUGCUUGGAUAACAUCAUAGAAAAGUUAAAAUUCUUGAACAAGGCCCAUGUCAAUUAGACACUCAAGAAGUGGGUGAUAGGUUUUCUCUUUUAGCUAAUGCCCACAUUCCCUCAUUAAUUUUAAAAGGUGAUAAGUGUUGCCCAAUUUGUUAGUAGCAAUGUAUUCAUCAUCAGUCUCCCUAGCCUUCUUUAUGUAGAAUUACUGAUAAAUAGUGGAGUGAGUUAGAGUGUAUUGUUUAAUUUUGUAUCCAUGCAUCUUGUGUAAUGUUCAUGUUUACAUAUGUUAUUCAUAUGAAUAAAAUAUGCAAUUUAGUAUUCGUUUUAUGUCGAAGUCUGAUUUCGUAAAGUAUAGUCAAGGUGGGUGUGCUAUGCAGUUUUUCAUUUGCAGUAACCGCUCAAGUUUGUUGUUUCUGGUUUGUUCUAGUGCCAAGAGUUUUUUCGGUAUGGUGGGCCUAUCGACAAAGUUGUUUUGGUCUGCUUCAGGCUAUUCACACAGCCAUUUCGGUCAACUACGACCUAUCUCAGAGUUGUUUCGACCUUCCGUAGGCAUCAACAACUCUUUGGUCUUGUGCGAAUUAGUUGCUGGAAAUGGUUGAAAAGCUUAACAGAAUUUGCAUCAAGGAACAUAGUCAGAUAUAUUAACAUAUAUUUUAUAGGAAGGGCAUGCCACUAUUUGCGGAAUUACAUAACAUAGAGUAAAAUAGACACUUUAGACAAUGAUAUAAAAAUAUGUAUACUAGAGAACAUAUGUUUUUAAAAGUAACUAAGAAUUUAACUAAGUGUAGUAAAAACAUUUCAUAUAUUUGGUGUUCCUUGUAUUUAUUUGAUGAUCCUUAACUUGUGUAAUUGUCAACACAAACAUGUCAGCAUUAGGUUUAGAUUAAAGGCAAAGACAAAAGUAGACAAUCAUGUUUAAAGGUUAAUCCUUUGGAGAGAAAGAAAUAUGAUAAUUGAAACUUUUUUGAUUGUUUUACUUCAUGUAGAACAAUAUGGAUGGAGGGGACAACAUAACUUUGUCCAAUUGAAAUUGCUUUAAUCUUUCAGUUUUGUUCUGAUAUAACGUAGUCUAGCUUUUCUUAAGGUUGUGGUAUUUUAAUUGUUAUGUCAUUUUACUUUUAUUUACUACUAUUAUAUAUAUAAAAGAUUAGUGAGCAUGUGGAUCUAUGUGCUUGCAUAUAUGAAAUUAAUGAUCAUACUGACAAUCUUCCACUACAACAUUUUUACCCUAUAGCAACGCCUAGUUUUUGGGAGGUAAAAAUAUUAUUCUCAUAG
Molecule: long non-coding RNA, 2402 nt
Organism: Lathyrus oleraceus (garden pea)
Lineage: Eukaryota; Viridiplantae; Streptophyta; Magnoliopsida; Fabales; Fabaceae
Exons: 3
Source: RefSeq, a predicted model, not a curated record